GGGAAAGAUUUAUUGCUAAAGGAUGGGGCUUUAUUGUAUCAGCUAGUUGGUGAGGUAAUGGCUCACCAAGGCUAUGACGCAUACCUGGUCUGAGAGGAUGAUCAGGCACACUGGAACUGAGACACGGUCCAGACUCCUACGGGAGGCAGCAGUGGGGAAUAUUGCACAAUGGAGGAAACUCUGAUGCAGCAACGCCGCGUGGAGGAUGACGCAUUUCGGUGUGUAAACUCCUUUUAUAAGGGAAGAUAAUGACGGUACCUUAUGAAUAAGCACCGGCUAACUCCGUGCCAGCAGCCGCGGUAAUACGGAGGGUGCAAGCGUUACUCGGAAUCACUGGGCGUAAAGGAUGCGUAGGCUGGAAAUCAAGUCGAGAGUGAAAUCCAACGGCUCAACCGUUGAACUGCUCUCGAAACUGAUUACCUAGAAUAUGGGAGAGGUAGAUGGAAUUGGUGGUGUAGGGGUAAAAUCCGUAGAUAUCACCAGGAAUACCGAUUGCGAAGGCGAUCUAC
Molecule: ribosomal RNA, 509 nt
Filed under: uncultured bacterium
Lineage: Bacteria
Description: bacterial SSU rRNA
Rfam family: Bacterial small subunit ribosomal RNA
Source: RNAcentral